Molecule: ribosomal RNA, 316 nt
Filed under: uncultured Bacteroidales bacterium
Lineage: Bacteria; Pseudomonadati; Bacteroidota; Bacteroidia; Bacteroidales
Description: bacterial SSU rRNA
Rfam family: Bacterial small subunit ribosomal RNA
Source: RNAcentral
GAUGAACGCUAGCGGCAGGCUUAACACAUGCAAGUCGAGGGGCAGCGCGGUGUAGCAAUACACUGGCGGCGACCGGCGCAAGGGUGCGUAACGCGUGAGCGACAUACCCGUGACUGGGGCAUAACCGAUGGAAACGUCGCCUAAUUCCCCAUAAUACAAGGGACCGCAUGAUUCCUUGUUAGAAAACUUCGGUGGUCACGGAUUGGCUCGCGUCCCAUUAGCUAGUCGGCGGGGUAACGGCCCACCGAGGCGACGAUCUCUAGCUGGUUUUAGCGGAUGAUCAGCCACAUUGGAACUGAGACACGGUCCAAACUCC